GUCUACAGCUAUCCCACCCCAAACACACCUGAUCUCAUCUGAUCUUGGAAGCCAAGCGGAGUCAGGCCAAGUUAGUACUUGGAUGGGAAAAGUAAUAUGAGUAUAAAAACCAUUUUUCCGCUGGUGGAGU
This 130-nucleotide ribosomal RNA is filed under the name Castor canadensis (American beaver). Lineage: Eukaryota; Metazoa; Chordata; Mammalia; Rodentia; Castoridae. The record is from RNAcentral.